RNAcentral lists this ribosomal RNA (496 nucleotides) under uncultured bacterium. RNAcentral describes it as "partial 16S ribosomal RNA". It matches the Rfam family "Bacterial small subunit ribosomal RNA", at positions 28 to 506 of the family's 1533-position model. The record is from RNAcentral.
GAUGAACGCUGGCGGCGUGCCUAAUACAUGCAAGUCGAGCGAACAGAUGAGGAGCUUGCUCCUCUGACGUUAGCGGCGGACGGGUGAGUAACACGUGGAUAACCUACCUAUAAGACUGGGAUAACUUCGGGAAACCGGAGCUAAUACCGGAUAAUAUAUUGAACCGCAUGGUUCAAUAGUGAAAGACGGUUUUGCUGUCACUUAUAGAUGGAUCCGCGCCGCAUUAGGUAGUUGGUAAGGUAACGGCUUACCAAGGCAACGAUGGGUAGCCGACCUGAGAGGGUAAUCGGCCAAAGGGGAAGGGAGACGUGGCCCAGCCCCGAACGGGAGGCAACAGUAGGAAGGUUUCCGCAAUGGGCGAAAGCCUGAAGGAGAAACGCCGGGGAAGGGAUGAAGGCCUUCGGGCGGGAAAACUGUUUUAUAGGGAAAAAACAAAUGUGUAAGUAACUAUGCGCGUCUGGGCGAUACCAAAGCAAAAAGCCCAGCAAACCUACGU